This 460-nucleotide ribosomal RNA is filed under the name uncultured bacterium. RNAcentral describes it as "partial 16S ribosomal RNA". It matches the Rfam family "Bacterial small subunit ribosomal RNA", at positions 338 to 795 of the family's 1533-position model. The record is from RNAcentral.
CCUACGGGAGGCUGCAGUGAGGAAUAUUUGUCAAUGGCCGUAAGCCUGAACCAGCCAAGUCGCGUGAAGGAAGAAGGAUCUAUGGUUUGUAAACUUCUUUUAUAGGGGAAUAAAGGUAUCCACGUGAGGAUUUUUGCAUGUACCCUAUGAAUAAGCAUCGGCUAACUCGGUGCCAGCAGCCGCGGUAAUACGGAGGAUGCGAGCGUUAUCCGGAUUGUUUGGGGAUAAAGGGUGCGUAGGUGGUUUAUUAAGUCAGCGGUGAAAGUUUGGGGCUCAACCAUAAGAUUGCCAUUGAAACUGGAAGGCUUGAGUGUGUUAGAGGUAGGUGGAAUGCGUGGUGUAGCAGUGAAAUGCAUAGAUAUUACGAAGAACUCCGAUUGCGAAGGCAGGUUACUAAGCCAUAACUGACACUGAGGCACGAAAGCGUGGGGAGCAAACAGGAUUAGAUACCCGGGUAGUC